CUCUUCAAGAACCUAUCACAUUCAUUAAAUUUUUUCUCAGCAUCAGCAAGUUUGGCAGCCAUAUCUGCCUCAAGCUCAGAAUGCACUUUACGCAGCUUCAUGAGAUCAUUGACCUUGGCCGUUAACUCAUCAUUCAGCCAUGCAAUAUGCCUCUCAACAAGCUCCUUCUCCUGCAAAAGCCGCGUACAAGAAGCCUGAGAGCGUGAUACUUCAGUCUCCAAGUCACAGACCCGCGCUUCCCUAGUCGCAGCAGUUUCAGUCAAAUGAAGUAUCUUAUCAAGAUAGCUUUUGAUAGUGGAAUUUUUCUCACUGAUCUCCAAGUCUUUCUGCUCCACCAAUUCCAUCAACUGCCUCUUCGUUUUCCGCAGUUCUGAAGCCUCUGUGGAUAACCUGUCCACAUCUCCAUCCUUUCCAAUCUGUUUUCAUGUUCCAGAAAAACAAUCAAAUACAAUAGGAAAAAAAACAUUGCAAAAAAUACAGAAUUUAGGGUGUGCACUAACUAAGGAGAAACCUAACAUAUCAAAAGUACACGAAAAGACUUAGGAAUUAGGAAUUAGAAAAGACUUACAGAUUGGAUGUGAACUUGCUGCUUCUCGGCUUGUACUUGAGAGAGUUCAGAGAGGCGUCUCUCAAACGA
This 637-nucleotide long non-coding RNA is filed under the name Nicotiana benthamiana. RNAcentral describes it as "long non-coding RNA (NBEN_LNC025318)". The record is from RNAcentral. Lineage: Eukaryota; Viridiplantae; Streptophyta; Magnoliopsida; Solanales; Solanaceae.